GAAGGUAUAGUUCAGUGGUAGAGUUAAGUGCUUAGCAUGCACAAGGUCCUGGGUUCAAUUCCCAGUACCUUUC
Molecule: transfer RNA, 73 nt
Filed under: Camelus bactrianus (Bactrian camel)
Lineage: Eukaryota; Metazoa; Chordata; Mammalia; Artiodactyla; Camelidae
Also listed under: 2 other names
Rfam family: tRNA
About the family: Transfer RNA (tRNA) molecules are approximately 80 nucleotides in length.
Source: Rfam by way of RNAcentral